GCAGUGGUAGUUCAAUGGUAGAAUUCUUGCCUUCCAUGCAGGAGACCCAGGUUUGAUUCCUGGCCAGUGCA
RNAcentral lists this transfer RNA (71 nucleotides) under Trichechus manatus latirostris (Florida manatee). Its description in RNAcentral is "tRNA-Gly (TCC) (tRNA-Gly-TCC-43-1)". It matches the Rfam family "tRNA". Rfam says of the family: Transfer RNA (tRNA) molecules are approximately 80 nucleotides in length. The record is from Rfam by way of RNAcentral. Lineage: Eukaryota; Metazoa; Chordata; Mammalia; Sirenia; Trichechidae.